GACGUAGGUGGCAAACGUUAUCCGGAAUUAUUGGGCGUAAAGGGUGCGUAGAUGGCCUGAUAAGUUAGCAGUGGGAAAUCGAGGCUCAACCUCGUGGAAGCUGGUAAUACUGUCAGGCUCGAGUGCAGGAGAGGUUAACGGAACUCCAUGUGGAGCGGUAAAAUGUGUAGAUAUAUGGAAGAACACCAAUAACGGCGAAGGCAGUUAACUAUUCUGUUACUGACAUUGAGGCACGAAAGCGUGGGGAGCAAAACGG
RNAcentral lists this ribosomal RNA (256 nucleotides) under uncultured bacterium. Its description in RNAcentral is "partial 16S ribosomal RNA". It matches the Rfam family "Bacterial small subunit ribosomal RNA", at positions 524 to 776 of the family's 1533-position model. The record is from RNAcentral.